CAGCAAUUAACAAGUUUAAUUAUUAACUUCGAGAAAAUAGUCCGAAUCUAACGAAGUACAACUUGUGGAGAAUGGAUGUUGACAUGAUGAUGCAAGCUCGCCAGUGUUUAAAACCAAUAUGAAGCUUGAUUUAGACACUGCAAUAUAAGGAGAGAGGCAGACCAGAAACCUCUGGCUAAAGCAAAGAUAAUAUGCAUAACAUAAGUAGUUACAUAAUUCACAAGAGUGCAAAGUUAUGAUGACCAUGCAGAGACAAGAUACCAUAACAAAGACCUGCAUGCAUGCAUAAAAAGGAUGUUCACUCAAUUUUUCAGAAUAAUGUGUCAGAUUGAAAUUCAUCUUAUGUUGGACAAAACAAUCAGGACGUUCAUUUGGAUCACAGCUAGCACAAAUUAAAGUAUUGACAAAACCAAAGAUUACCUGGUAGUCUGCAAAUGGAGUGAUCAUUGGAUGAGCCAGACAACACCAUUUUCCUCAGAAAUUUUAGGAUAGAGACUAGUCACUUGAUCUCCAUCUUCAUUCAUAGAUGACUGAUGUCGACAUUUUCUCACUUCUGUUUCAUGUUUUUACAUGGACUCAACACUUCAGCAUCAGUGGGCGCUUGACUUUUAUUAACAUUUAUUCCUCUGAAAUUCAUAUAAUAUCCUUUAAUAUAGGGCAUAAAUAACAAAUCAUUUAUCUUGUAAAAUAUUUUUAAAUUUUACUUAAUUAAUAAAACAAUGAAAACAGUUCAAACAAACUGGUUUAUCCUAUAAUCUAAAACUGUUUUAUGUUUGAAGUAAUUUAUAAUUUUACAGUUAAGAUACUUAAGG
This is a long non-coding RNA of Saccostrea cuccullata (small rock oyster), 812 nucleotides long. RefSeq lists it as uncharacterized. NCBI's taxonomy places the organism in Eukaryota, Metazoa, Mollusca, Bivalvia, Ostreida, Ostreidae. The transcript has 4 exons. The record is from RefSeq and is a predicted model, not a curated record.